AAGUAAAAGUCGUAACAAGGUCUCCGUUGGUGAACCAGCGGAGGGAUCAUUACCGAGUUUACAACUCCCAAACCCCUGUGAACAUACCACUUGUUGCCUCGGCGGAUCAGCCCGCUCCCGGUAAAACGGGACGGCCCGCCAGAGGACCCCUAAACUCUGUUUCUAUAUGUAACUUCUGAGUAAAACCAUAAAUAAAUCAAAACUUUCAACAACGGAUCUCUUGGUUCUGGCAUCGAUGAAGAACGCAGCAAAAUGCGAUAAGUAAUGUGAAUUGCAGAAUUCAGUGAAUCAUCGAAUCUUUGAACGCACAUUGCGCCCGCCAGUAUUCUGGCGGGCAUGCCUGUUCGAGCGUCAUUUCAACCCUCAAGCACAGCUUGGUGUUGGGACUCGCGUUAAUUCGCGUUCCUCAAAUUGAUUGGCGGUCACGUCGAGCUUCCAUAGCGUAGUAGUAAAACCCUCGUUACUGGUAAUCGUCGCGGCCACGCCGUUAAACCCCAACUUCUGAAUGUUGACCUCGGAUCAGGUAGGAAUACCCGCUGAACUUAA
RNAcentral lists this ribosomal RNA (546 nucleotides) under Fusarium oxysporum. Its description in RNAcentral is "eukaryotic LSU rRNA". The stretch from base 201 to 354 matches the Rfam family "5.8S ribosomal RNA". Lineage: Eukaryota; Fungi; Ascomycota; Sordariomycetes; Hypocreales; Nectriaceae. The record is from RNAcentral.